GGAAGGCCAGUGGAGACAAUGGAUGAUCUUGUUCUUAGCAGAUCACUGGAUGUGGCAGGGAGUCCUAGGACAUGUGUGGUGUGGGCUUCUUCAGGUGCUGGUGGUGUUGGCAUGAGGAAAGGAGGUAUCUUCGAGGGACAAUCUUCUUCUUGUGCGAUCCUUGGAGAUGCCAUGAGGCCCCUGGACACAUGUGGUGUGGGCUCCUUUGGAGGCUGUUGUAUCCCUUCUGAAUGUGGCGUGGGCAUAGAAGGAAGGCCAGUGGCCACGAGGGACAAUCUUGGUCUUGGGAGAUCCUGGAAAUGAUAGGGAGUCCCUUGAUAUGUGUGGCAUGGGCUCCUUCAGGUGCUAGUGGAUUCCUUAGGAUGGUGGUGUUGGCAUGAAAGGCAGGCUUGUAUCAUGAGGAAUGAUUGUCAUCUUGUCUGAUUCUUGGAGAUGGCAGGAAGCCCCUGGAAACACAUGGUGUGGACUCUUUCACAGGCUGUUGAAACCCUCCUGAAUGUGAGGCCAGAGACAGGCAGACAGCAGAUGUAUUGCAGGGAGCUGGAUGACAUGGCCCUUGGAACCUGUGCACAUGCCUGCCUUUCUGAUGCACGUCCAUGUUUUCUCUGCACCUCCCCGGUGGUGUUGGUAUAAAAAGCAGGCUUACAUCAGCAAGGGAUGAUUGUCGUCUCAUGCGAUCCUGGGAGAUGGCAGAAGUCCCGGGACACAUGGAGUGUGGGCUCUUUCGGAGGCUGUUGGAUCCCUCCUGAAUGUGUUGUGGCCAUGGAAGUAAGGCCAGUGGCUACGAGGGACAGUCUUCAUCUUGGGAGAUCCCUAGAGAGGGCAGGGAGCCCCUUGACAUGUGGAAUGUGAUCUCUGUUGGGUGCUGGUGGAUCCCACAGGUGGUCUGGCAUGGAAGAAGGCCAGAGGCUGCGAUGGAUCAUCUUUGUCUUGGGAGAUUCCUGGAGAUGGUGGGGAGCCCCUGGGCACGUGCAGCAUAUGUGGCGUGGGCUUCUUCAGGUGCUGGUGGAUCCCUCAGGAUGCUUUUCAAGGUUUUUCUAUGAGUUCUGUUAAAGAGUCUGAAAAUGGAGCGUAGAAGACAUGCUUCGAUUUCCAGGAUGGUUGUGUUUUCCAGAGAGGCGGAGGUAAACCACUGGCGCAGCCCUGCCUCCCACAGAUAAUUCCGGGUGCAGUGUUUCAUAUCUAGACUUGGACUUCUAUCCUACCAUACUUCUUUGUGUGCAGUUCAUUGUGGAACCAGCACAGAUUUUCAUACGAAAGUUAUUUCUUUUUAACCUCAAAAAGUGACAGAAUGGAGUGUAUCAUGAAAAAGUCUGACAUCAAAACCUCAAAAUGUGAUAUUGAUUGGGUGAGAUAGAAUUCCAUGGAAUUUCAUUGCCAAACCAGUGAAGUGCUAAUUUUGACAUUUGUACCAGCUAACGUAGCUGUGAAGAAACACACCAAUACACUUCUAAGGACAGCAUAGACCAAGAUCUAGGUUUCAUAUGGAUGAAUUUAUUCUUCCCUUUGAGGCAAGACAAGAAGGAAAGAAAGUAUUGGGAAUAAUGCUGCCCUCCCAUCCUCAAGGGCCAGUGGGAACUCUAAUAUUGAUUGGGUGAGAUACAAUUCCAUGGAAUUUUACCACUGAACCAGUGGAGGGCUAAUUUUGUCAUUUGUACCAGUUAACUAACUUGGGAGGAAACAGAACAACACACUCCUGAGGGUAAAAUGGAAACUCUGAGAGUUUGGUUGGCGGCAUCUAUAUACCAUAGAAACAGAGCCUGGGAAGCAGAACAGUGAGACCCAAGAGAAAUGUUCCUGCCUAUACUUGGUCUGUUCUCACAUUUGCCUGAGCUACUGAUUGAUCUUUUGAGGGUGAUGAGAUGGUCAAAAUCCAAGGAUAUGAUGAGUUUUUACUUCUCAUUUUCUUUUUUUUUUUAUUAUACUUUAAGUUUUGGGGUACAUAUGCAGAACGUGCAGGUUUGUUACAUUGGUAUACACGUGCCAUGGUGGUUUGCUGCACCCAUCAACCCAUCAUCUACAUUAGGUAUUUCUCCUAAUGCUAUCCCUCCCCUAGCCCCUGACCCCCCAACAGGCCCUGGUGUGUGAUGUUCCCUCCCUGUGUCCAUGUGUUCUCAUUGUUCACCUCCCACUUAUGAGUGAGAACAUGUGGUGUUUGGUUUUCUGUUCUUGUGUUAGUUUGCUGAAAAUGAUGGUUUCCAGUUUCGUUCAUGUCCCUGCAAAGGACAUGAACUCAUGCUUUUUUAUGGCUGCAUAGUAUUCCAUGGUGUACAUGUGCCACAUUUUCUUUAUCCAGUCUAUCAUUGAUGGACAUUUGGGUUGGUUCCAAGUCUUUGCUAUUGUGAAUAGUGCCGUAAUAAACAUAUGUGUGCAUGUGUCUUUAUAGUAGCAUGAUUUAUAAUCCUUUAGAUAUAUACCCAGUAAUGGGAUUGCUGAAUCAAAUGGUAUUUCCAGUUCUAGAUCCUAGAGGAAUUGCCACACUGUCUUCCACAACGGUUGAACUAAUUUACACUCCCACCAACAGUGUAAAAGUGUUCCUAUUUCUCCACAUCCUCUCCAGCAUUUGUUGUUUCCUGACUUUUUUUAAUGAUCGCCAUUCUAACUGGCAUGAGAUGGUAUCUCAUUGUGGUUUUGAUACACAUUUCUGUAAUGACCAGUGAUGAUGAGCCUUUUUUCAUGUUUGUUGGCUGCAUAAAUGUCUUCUUUUGUUUUACUUCUCAUUUUCUUAAAGUGAAACAAUUUCAUGUGGUAUCUUCCAAGUAUAUUUUAAUCAGUUGCCAACCCAGCUGCUAAGAUUGAACUGUUUCUUUUGUUCUUCUCUUGUUUUUUUCUAUUAAUUUAGCAAACAAUUUUAUAUAUAGUUUGCUAUCCUUCUCCAUGGGGCCUGCAUCUUCAGAUUCAACUAGCCAUGGAUUGAAAAUACUUGACAAAAAAUUGUAUGGUUUCAUCUGUACUGAACAUGUACAGUCUUUUUCUCUCUUUUUCUCUUUCUUUCUUUUUUUUUUUUUUGAGACAGAGUUUCACUCUGUCACCCAGGCUGGAGUGCAGUGGCACGAUCUCAGCUCACUACAACCUCUGUCCCCCGGGUUCAAGUGAUUCUCCUACCUCAGCCUCCUGAAUAGCUAGGAUUACAGGCGCCCACCACUGUGCCAGGCUAAUUUUUGUGUUUUUAGUAGAGAUGGGGUUUCACCAUGUUGGCCGGGCUGGUCUCGAACUCCUGACCUUAAGUGAUCUGCCUGCAUCAGCCUCCCAAAGUGCUGGGAUUACAAGCAUGAGCCACCAUGCCCAGCCAAGUACAGACUUUUUCUUUGGUUAUUAUUCCCUAAAACAGUACAGUAUAACAACUAUUUACGCAGCAUUUACAUUGUAUUCAGCAUCAUGAGUAAUCUAGAAAUGAUUUCCUGCAUAUAGGAGGAUGUACAUAGGUUCUAUGCCAAUAGUGCACAGUGCUCGCUGUGUUUAAAGAAAUAUCCUAGGUAUAGAAUAAAUAAUUUUGAAGUCAGUGUGUUGAGAAAACACUGACAUGGAUAGAAAAUAUUCUGUCUAGAAUAGAAAAAACAAUAGAAUAGAAAAAGUUCUAUCUGUAUCAGUCUGAUCAAAGAUGUGAGCAUAAUUAUUCUUGUCAUACAUAUAGUCUAAUGAAUGUCUAAAGUGAAUUCUUAUAACUGCUUGUAACAAAAUAUUUCAUUUGGCAAAUGUUAUUUCACAACUUUCCUAAUUGCCCAUGUACUUUGUAGAUUGGUUUUCACAGAAUUCCAUGGACUUUAACUGCUGAACCAAUGAUGCACUGAUUUUGUCACUUGUACCAGCUAACGCAUCUGGGAGGCAACAAAACAAUACUCUCCUGAGGUUAAUGUGGACCAAAAACUAGAUUUCAUAUAAAAGAGUUUAUUCCUUCUACUUGAGGUGUGACAUGAAGGAAAGUAAUGGAAAUAAUUCUGCCCUCCCAUUCUCAAGGGCCAGGGGGAAUUCAAAUAUUGAACGGAAGUGAUUUUGGAAUUGCAUGGAAUUCUCACUGCCAUCCCAAAGAAAUGCUGAUCUUGUCACUCUUACCUGUUUCAUUCCCUGGGGGCAGAACAAAAGGACGCACUCCAAAGAUCGGCAUGAACCAAGAACUGGGUUUCAUAUAAAAUAUUUUAUUCUGUCCUCUUGAGAUGUGACAUGAGAAAAGUAUUGAGAAUACUUCUAUCACCUCAUCUUCAAGAAUCCGUAGGAAUUCUCCCAUGGUGGACUUUACGGUUAACCUGAACAGGUCUUGGAAAAAGGACUUUAAACAUUCUCCUGUUCUGUGGAAUAAGUAUACUUUUUUCUGGACAUACACCUUGUCAGUGAGUUCCAUGUGAUACUAGAGUUGCAUAGAUUUUUAACCUUUACGCCAAUGAAGAUCUGAGGCAAACAUUGCCCCUUUUUUAGAAGUUUGCAUUUGUCACUGAUAACUGUAAUAAUUGAUCUUGUUGAAAAGCCUGGGAAAUGAAGAUCUGAUAUGUCACUUUUACCGGCUUCCUCAACUGAAAAAGAAUACAAUGAAACACGCUGAGAAUUUUUGUGCUUUCUCAGUCUUGCUGAUGAUCUUUCUAUGGGCCUGAAGCGUGGAGAGUGCCAGAGAGGCUGAUCCUCAGCAGUGUGGCAGAGGAAAGUUGGGUGCGACUAAGGGGUAUGCGGUGCCCACAUGCCACUGGGUCCUCAGCAGUACCACCUGAUUGGAAGUGAUAUUGGUGGAAGACAACAUUUUGCCGCUUGGAAUUCUCACCUCCACACCAAAGAAGUACUGUUUUUGUCAUUUGCACCAGCUUCUUUCUCCAGGAAAGAUCAAAACGAUGCACUGCAAGUGUGAUUGGUCCAGAUAGCUGCCUUAUCCAACUGCCUCCUUUGGACCACUUCAUCAUGGGACAGCUUGAUGCAAUCUACUUGACAAGACCCUGGAACCCCACACCCCUCAUGGAACCAGUGUCCACCUCCCAGUCACAGUGUGACCCCAGGGAACUCUUGCCUGCUUGCUUUAAACCCACCACUUAAAAGUCUCCACAGAAAACCUGUUUGAAUAGUACCCUUGACCCAAUAAGGGCAUUGGCCCCUGGGUGUCUCUCUCUCUCUCUCUCUCUCUCUCUCCCUCUCUCUCCCUCUCUCUCUCUCGCUCCCUGACCUCUGCGUGUGGACUCCAGGCAUGCCAUAUACCCCUCAGGACCUGAAGCAAAAGAAUGAAUUAAAGAAAACUCCAGAGAAUGAGCUGACAACCUACUCCCUGGUCAGUGGCUCUCCAUGCCUACCUGUGGUCUCUUGGACACCCUUGCAGAAGAUGACUUCCUGGGAACUCUUCUGGGAGUGAAUGUUAUCAGCAAAUUCCCAAAACAACACCCCUUAGACAAAAAGCCUCCUCACCUAUGCAUUGCCUAGACCACCCACUAAAGGUGAUGGCCACAAAGAGGUGGAUUUGUUGAGUUGGUGCCAUUCCUUCUACUGCCAGCUUCACCAAAACAAUGACACAGUCUUCCUUCCGCAUGGAGACUCUUCUCUUUCCUGUGUUGCAGUGGAUGCCUCCUGCAGAUAAGAAAUGCUUAACUGAGAAAUGCUCAUGUUGGGAUAUCAUCGAUGAGACUUUAAUUUGGGCAUGGUGACUGUUUCCCUUGCUGCCACUUGACUCAAUCCCAGGAGCCUCAGUAGAGGAUAUAAUAUUACACAAGAUGCUCAAAAUGGUGGAAUUGCUCAGUGCUCCCAUAAAUAUACAUUUAUAAUUUUCAUUUGCCACAUGGUAAACUGAAAAAUACAGACUAUAUUAAAAAGAAACUGCAUGAUUUUUUUUCAAAAAUUCAAAGCAUAUUUAAAUAAUAUAUAAAUUAAAUGCCCUCCUCUCUUCCAAUUCUGUCCCUAUAGUUUUCCUCUAUUAAGUGAACUACAUGCAUUCUUUUAGUGGAUAGAUGCACACAAACACACAAGCCAUUAUGGGGAAGGAUCCACGUGUGUGGCCAUAUUGUAACACAUUUUUCUGCAAAUCACCUCUUUCAUUUAACAGCCCUUAUUCAAUGGCCUUUUUCUUUUUCAGUAGUACAUACACAUCUGUGUCAUUUGUUGAAUGACGACAUGAAUGUUUUGUAGAUAAAAUAUAAUUAAAUGUUUUAAGCAUUUCUCACUCAUAGAUAUUUAUGUUAGCACCAAAUUUCUGUGCAAUGAACCUCCCUAUAUAUCAGUAAUUUUGCAUUUGUCUAUAAUAUCAUAAUAAAUUACUUAUCAGUUGAAUUACUGGGAUUAAGUAUGUGCACACUUUAUAUUUAUAUUUUGAAAAUUAUUGCAAGAUUGCCUUCAAAAAUGUGGUUAACAACUUUAUCUUCAAAUGGCAAUGAAUGAGAUUGCCAGCUUUCCUACAGCCUCACAGACAAUGGAUUUUAUAAAUAUUUAACAUUUUUGCCAAUGUGAUCACCCAAACUAUUGUCUUAAAUUGUAUCUCUUUUGUUUUUGAGUUUGGUCAUUUUUUCAUGUUUAUUAGCCAUCUGUAUUUUUUAAUUUCUUCUUUAUGUCCAAUUUUGUGGGUGGGAGGAGGAUUUAGUCUCUUCCUGAUUUCGAAGAGCUCAUUUACUAUUUCGGGAAAUAAGAUUUGGAUUGUCAACCAUUAUAGCUAUUUUUUACACACUUUUCAACUUUGUUUUUGUUAUAAGAAUGUGUAUGAUUGUUACAUGUCCAAGUAUAACCAUGUUCGCUUUUAUGGCUUCUGAGUUUCAUGUCAUUUUUGGAAAGAUAUAUAUAUUGAGUCCAUAAAACCCUUCACCUAUGUUAAAUUCUAAUUCUUUUGUGUUUUUUUAAUUCAAAUUCUUAAAUCAUGAGAAAUUUUUUUGUUUUGAAAUCUUAAAGUUGCCAAGUUACUUGCCAUUACUUGCGAUUAUUUGCCAAUAAUUGCCCAUUUAUCUGUACCGCCAUCUUGCGCAUAUGCUGUACUCUCAUCUGUGACUGGCUCCAUUUUUGUUCUGUGGAUUUGUGUGUCUCUUCUUCUGCCUCCUGUCUCGUGUCUGCUCGUUGGAAGAAAUUACAGUUUAGACUGCAAUUUCAUCAACUUUAAUAAAUCAAUUGAGGGGAGAAUUGGUUUUUAAAAAUAUUAAGUAAGUCUUCGUAUCCAAGGACAAGGUAUGUCUUUUCUUAUUCAAUAAUUUUAAUUACUGUUAAUAUUUUCACUGUGGUGAUGGGAGUUUUUCUUUUAAUUUAUUUUCUUGUUCAUUUUUUGUAUCUAAAGUUUUUGUUUUGUUUUGUUUUGGGGGUAAGUUGUCACCUUACUGUUUCUUGUUGCUUUUCAGAUUUUUUCAAAGUAUAGACUAAAUCCUUCACAAAUAUUUAAAGUUUUUAUUUUCCCCCUUCAUAUUGAUCCUGAUUUUAGUUAUGUUGACAAAGUCCACAGACUGUUACUAUCAGAACACUUGAACAGUUAUGGAAAUAUUACCUACCCUUGAUUUAAUCAGAGUUUAAUGGUAUGCUUCUUUGGUUUGACUGGCACAUUGUCGCUGGUCAUUUCCUCCCAAAGACCACCAGAAAGAGCUAUGAUCAAGCAAAGCUGAGUUUGUUAAACUUACCUGCAGCAAGGGAAAACACCACCUUGAUAGGGUUUAAUAAUGUUUCAAAAUCAAGAAAUGAGGCUUUGGGGUCUGGGCAGGGAACUAAUUAGAAAUGGGCAAAAUUUGUCAUGCAAUACCUUGUGGGAAAGUGAGAUGAGGUUCUUAAUGUGAGUAUUGAUGGUGAAAUCAUUUUCUAGGUGAGCUGUUUGCCUAUAUAAAGAUGUUAUCAAUGACAGAAGAACUAUUUGCCUAGAUAAACAAACUGAAUUUAUUUAUUGGUUUACAGUUUUAUCUUGCUGGGCAGGACUCUGCUGGGGGUGGUAUCAGGUCUUAUUCCCAAUAGGUAAGUUAUUUGGAUAUGGGUGGUCUUAAUCAUCAAUGUGUAAAAUGCUGAUUUUAAGUGCGAAAUACUUUGUCUACCAUGUUAGGAAAGUCUGCCACCUUUUAUCUUUUUUAAGGAAUUUUAAUCAAAACCAGGUGGUAGAUAUAAUCAAAUUGUUUUGCAGAAUCAAUUUUCCUGUUCUCUUUAAAGACUUUUAUCACUGUGAAUUAAUUUACUAUUAUUGCAACUUCCUUUAAUUCCUUGAAUGAACAGACCCUACUGGUUUUAAAAAUGUUUUAUUCUUUUAAUUUACUACUUAAUUGUGGGUAUUUUAAUUUGAUUUGGAAUUUUUACAAGUAUACAACUAAGUGAAAUUGAUCUGUGAUUUUUCUUUUUUGUGCUAUUUUUGUCAUGUUUUGAUAUCAGAUAUUCUGGUUGUGUUAAAAUAAUUUUGAGGAUUUUCUUCUUAUACUGUGUUCUAGAGUGGGUAAAAAAGCCCUAGUCUCACUAUCAGUGUUUAAGUGAACACAUCAGUGACAUCAUCUGGACUCUCCUUUGUUUUUGCUGGUUUGGAGUUAGGACAUCUAGAAGUUUUUUUCUUUUUUUCCUUUUUUUGUAUGGUUAUUGCUUGUUCUUUGUUUUGUGUCAAAUUUAACCUGUUUUCUCUUAGCAAAUCACAGCUCAUGCAGAUUUUCAAACACAUUAGCCUUGUUAUACAAAGUGUUCUUUCAUCAUUCUAUUAAAUUUCCAUUUUCAUUCCAGUUAUAGUUAUUUCUGCUGUGCCUUUGUUAAUGAAUAAGUUUAAACAGUGGAUGUUUAGCAUCACUAGCCUUCCCCUUCCAUCUCCCUUAAUCAGGACCUUGGUAUAAUUUAUCAGGUAUUUUUUAAGGUUCUAAUUUACUUAUAUAUAUUGUUUCUGUAUUCUUUUGUUUCUUUUCUUAAUAAAUUCUUAAA
Long non-coding RNA from Homo sapiens (human), 8811 nucleotides. Ensembl annotates it as small nucleolar RNA host gene 14. Its record names the gene SNHG14. NCBI's taxonomy places the organism in Eukaryota, Metazoa, Chordata, Mammalia, Primates, Hominidae. The record is from Ensembl.